GACGUAGGAUGCAAGCGUUGUCCGGAAUUAUUGGGCGUAAAGCGUUCGUAGGCGGUUACUUAAGUCUGGUGUUAAAGACGGGAGCUCAACUCCCGCAUGGCAUUGGAAACUGGGUGGCUAGAGUACGGUAGAGGUCUCGGGAAUUCCAGGUGUAGCGGUGAAAUGCGUAGAUAUCUGGAGGAACACCGGUGGCGAAAGCGCGAGACUGGGCCGUAACUGACGCUGAGGAACGAAAGCCAGGGGAGCGAAAGGG
RNAcentral lists this ribosomal RNA (253 nucleotides) under uncultured bacterium. RNAcentral describes it as "partial 16S ribosomal RNA". It matches the Rfam family "Bacterial small subunit ribosomal RNA", at positions 524 to 776 of the family's 1533-position model. The record is from RNAcentral.